Molecule: non-coding RNA, 896 nt
Organism: Macaca mulatta (Rhesus monkey)
Lineage: Eukaryota; Metazoa; Chordata; Mammalia; Primates; Cercopithecidae
Source: RefSeq, a predicted model, not a curated record
UUGUCCUGCUGCUUAUACCCACGCUGAAGCUGUUCGUUUACUAUUUUGGUGACACCUGGUUUAUUUGCAAUUCAACAACAGCAGCUACGAUUCACUCACUGUGCACAAAGCUCUCUAUAUUGAAGUCUUACUACUGUUCGUUUUUCUAGGUAACUGAAGCUCAUCUGAAUGCUAUGCCAAUCAAAGGAAGAGUUCUGCUGCUUACAAACUGUUUGAAGACUGCUGCUCUAAUCAUAGCUUGAUUAAUUUUUCCAUCAAGAGAAUGGCACUACAUAUUUUGUAGAGGCAAAAAUAAUACAGAUUUUGCCUAAUGGAAUGCUUCCAAGGUCACUGUGAGGAUGAAUGGACUCGCAUUCAAAAAGCACUUCGGAAUCCUAGACAGGCUGAAGUGAAGUGACAUCAGCUUGCCCUCUGUUCUUGGCAAUGGAAGAGCUUCUUGAGAUGAGAAAGCCUGGGUUACUUCAGCUGCUCGUCACUUCCAUUAAGUUCUCUGGAUGUUGCAGCCUGACUUCUGCCCAGUCCUGAGAGUAGGGCUCCCAAAAGCCAACAGAAAUGUCUCCAUCACCAAAGAGAGAAAAUCAAGGCUCAGAGAGAUGAUCUGACUUGGACAAUUUUCGAGUGACACAGCUGGAUUCACACCCAGAUCUCUCUGACUUGAAAGUACCUGUUGUCCAGAAAAAAAGACGUAAGUGGAAAAAUCAGUGAGACUUGAAAAUAGGAGCUUAGUUUAGUUAAUAGUAAUGAACCAAUGUUGGAUGGUUUUGAUCAUUGCAGGAUGGUUAUGUGAGCUGUGAAGAGUAGAGAAACUUGGGUGAAGGUUAUAUGGGAACCCUGCACUAUUUUGCACCUUUUUGUAACUCUAAAAUUAUUUCAAAAUAAAAAGUUACAGCCAGGCA